GACGAACGCUGGCGGCGUGCCUAAUACAUGCAAGUGGAACGCUAAGGCGGGGGUUUCUUUCUCGGGUGGAGUGGCAAACGGGUGAGUAACCCGUAGGUAACCUGCCGGUUACGGGGGGAUAACUUUGGGAAACGAUGGCUAAUACCGCAUAGGAGAGAUUGUUGAAUGGAUUUGGUUAAAAAGUUGCAUUGCAUUCAUAACCACUCGACCCGCGUUGUAUUAGCUAGUUGGUGGGGGAACGGCUCAACAAGGCGGCGAUACAUAGCCGACCUGAGAGGGUGAUCGGCCACACUGGGACUGAGACACGGCCCAGACUCCUUCGGGAGGCAGCAGUAGGGAAUCUUCGGCAAUGGACGGAAGUCUGACCGAGCAACGCCGCGUGAGUGAAGAAGGUUGUCGGAUCGUAAAGCUCGGUUGUAAGAGAAGAACGAGUGUGAGAGUGGAAAGUUCACACUGUGACGGUAUCUUACCAGAAAGGGACGGCUAACUACGUG
Molecule: ribosomal RNA, 494 nt
Filed under: uncultured bacterium
Lineage: Bacteria
Description: partial 16S ribosomal RNA
Rfam family: Bacterial small subunit ribosomal RNA
Source: RNAcentral